GGAUUGAACGCUGGCGGCAGGCCUAACACAUGCAAGUCGAGCGGUAGAGAGGUGCUUGCACCUCUUGAGAGCGGCGGACGGGUGAGUAAUGCCUAGGAAUCUGCCUGGUAGUGGGGGAUAACGCUCGGAAACGGACGCUAAUACCGCAUACGUCCUACGGGAGAAAGCAGGGGACCUUCGGGCCUUGCGCUAUCAGAUGAGCCUAGGUCGGAUUAGCUA
RNAcentral lists this ribosomal RNA (219 nucleotides) under uncultured soil bacterium. RNAcentral describes it as "partial 16S ribosomal RNA". It matches the Rfam family "Bacterial small subunit ribosomal RNA", at positions 27 to 247 of the family's 1533-position model. The record is from RNAcentral.